RNAcentral lists this long non-coding RNA (335 nucleotides) under Linum usitatissimum (flax). Its description in RNAcentral is "long non-coding RNA (LUSI_LNC006057)". Lineage: Eukaryota; Viridiplantae; Streptophyta; Magnoliopsida; Malpighiales; Linaceae. The record is from RNAcentral.
UGAUGUGAUGUAUUUUCGACACACCUUUUCUCGUUAUAAACUAUAUUUUUGUGUGUCGAAAUGUAUUCAAAUUUGGGUUUUGAGUACAUGCUUGGUUCUCUUGCCCCUCGGGGCGGUAUUAUGGUGCUUGGUAUGUUUUUGGUAUAUUUCAGGUGUCAUAUGACGUUUGGAGAUAAACCAAGACAUGAUGGGGAGGCCGGAACAACUCAAAGCGUUCGACUUUGGAAGAAAGCGUCACUGUUUAGUAUUUUGAGCAUAACUCAUCGCUCCAAAGUCCAAUUGAUGCAAGGUCAGCGGCGUUGGAACGAUAAUUCGAUUGUCUACAACUUUGAUGU